Antechinus flavipes (yellow-footed antechinus) is the source of this 5547-nucleotide long non-coding RNA. RefSeq lists it as uncharacterized. The transcript has 2 exons. Lineage: Eukaryota; Metazoa; Chordata; Mammalia; Dasyuromorphia; Dasyuridae. The record is from RefSeq and is a predicted model, not a curated record.
UUGUCAUCUUUAUUAUGUUCGCUCGGCCGAUCCAAGAGCACUUAAUAUUUUUCCAAUUAUUUAAGUCUGACUUUAUUUGUGUGGAGACUUUUUUAUAAGUUUGCUCAUAUAAUUCCUGACUUUCCUUUGGUAGAUAGCUUCCCAAAUAUUUUAUGGUAUCGACAGUUAUUCUGAAUGGAAUUUCUCUUUGUAUCUCUUGCUGUUGGGUUUUGUUGGUGAUGUAUAAAAAUGCUGAGGAUUUAUGGGGAUUUAUUUUGUAGCCAGCUACUUUGCUAAAAUUAUGAAUUAUUUCUAAUAGCUUUUUAGUAGAAUCUCUGGGGUUCUCUAGGUAUACCAUCAUAUCAUCUGCACAGAGUGAUAGUUUGGUUUCCUCAUUGCCUAUUCUAAUUCCUUUAAUAUCUUUCUCGACUCUUAUUGCCGAGGCUAGUGUUUCUAAUACGAUAUUAAAUAAUAAUGGUGAUAGUGGGCAACCUUGCUUCACUCCAGAUCUUACUGGGAAAGGUUCCAGUUUUUCCCCAUUGCAUAUGAUGCUUACUGAUGGUUUUAAAUAUAUGCUUCUGACUAUUUUAAGGAAAAGUCCAUUUAUUCCUAUGCUCUCAAGUGUUUUUAUUAGGAAUGGAUGUUGGAUUUUAUCAAAUGCUUUUUCUGCAUCUAUUGAGAUGAUCAUAUGGUUUUUGUUUGUUGGUUAUUGAUAUAGUCAAUUAUGCUAAUAGUUUUCCUAAUAUUGAACCAGCCCUGCAUUCCUGGUAUAAAUCCUACUUGAUCAUAGUGUAUUAUCCUGGGGAUGAUUUUCUGUAAUCUUUUUGCUAAUAUUUUAUUUAAGAUUUUAGCAUCAAUAUUCAUUAGGGAGAUUGGUCUAUAAUUUUCUUUCUCUGUUUUCAGCCUACCUGGUUUAGGUAUCAGUACCAUGUCUCUGUCAUAAAAGGAGUUUGGUAGGACUCCUUCCAUCCCUAUUUUUUCAAAUAGUUUAUUUAGCAUUGGAGUUAAUUGUUCUUUAAAUGUUUGGUAGAAUUCACAUGUAAAUCCAUCUGGUCCUGGGGAUUUUUUUUUAGGGAGUUGAUUGAUAGUUUGUUCUAUUUCUUUUUCUGAGAUGGGACUGUUUAGGAUAUUUACUUCUUCCUCUGUUAGUUUGGGCAAGCUAUAUUUUUGGAGGUAUUUUUCUAUCUCAUUUAAGUUGUCGAAUUUAUUGGCAUAAAGUUGGGCAAAGUAACUCCUAAUUAUUGCUCUAAUUUCCUCUUCGUUAGUGGCGAAUUCUCCCUUUUCAUUUUUAAGACUAACAAUUUGAUUUUCCUCUUUCCUUUUUUUAAACAGAUUUACUAAGGGUUUGUCUAUUUUGUUGGUUUUUUCAUAGAACCAACUCUUAGUUUUAUUAAUUAAUUCAAUAGUUUUUUUACUUUCAAUUUUAUUGAUCUCUCCUUUUAUUUUUAGAAUUUCAAAUUUAGUGUUUGACUGGGGGUUUUUAAUUUGUUCCUUUUCCAGCAUUUUUAGCUGCAAGCCCAAUUCAUUGACCUUCUCUUUCUCUAUUUUAUACAAAUAGGCCUCUAGAGAUAUGAAAUUUCCCCCGAUUUAUCAUUUUUAAUAAAUAGUGGAUCCUAGUCUAAGAACACUUUCAAGGCAAGUCUCCUGCCAGCAAGGAUUGGGUUAAUGAGUAGUGCACAGAGUCCUGCAUGCGAGUGCUUAGUAAAUAUUUGCCCAACUGUCAACUUGGAAGUGCACAGCACGGUGGUGUAUGAAUUACUUGGUACCAAGUAAAAUAACAAAUUUUAUCGACAUGCAAUAAAUAUAACUUUCUGUAUUAAAUAACUCGACAUGCCUGAAGGUUCCUUUUGCUGCAAUCAGUGCUGCUGGCACUGAGUUUACUCAUUUUUUUCUAGUUUGAGAGUAUUUUAUUUUUCCCAGUACACAUAUAGUUUUGAAAAUUCAUUUUUGUAACUUUGUGUCCCCAAUUCUUCUCCCUCCCUCUAUUAUCUCCCCCUCCCCCAAGACAACAAUCUGAUAUAUGAUCACUUUUUCCAUAUUUGUCAUGUUGUGUAGCACUGUUGAUGAGAUUUGACAUUUAUUCAUCAUGAAACCACACAUUAUCUCACUGAGCAUUAAUUUCAUCUUUUCCCCAAAUAGAGCCUCAAUUAGGGUCCAUGUUUUUGUUUGAUUUUUGGUAACUGCAGGGCACUGGGUGGCGCAGUGGAGAGAGCAGAUCUGGCCUCAGACACUUGACACUUCCUGGCUGUGUGACCCUGGGCAAGUCCCCGAACCCCAAUUGCUUUUUGGUAACUCCCUGGCCUUUUGUGACAUACGUCACACGGCGCUAAGUGAUGCGAUGGUUAGGGGGCGGGGCUUGGACUCUGGCAGCCUGGAGGGAAGACCAGCCAUAGGCCCUUACUAGCCGCGUGAGCUGCUCACAGCACCGGUUCCUUAUCCGCAGAGCGGGGUCCGGAGAGCGCCUGCUUCCAGGGCUGGGGGAGGAGCAAAGCCGCGAUCACAAAGCGCUCACACAAGCCCGGGCCUCAGUAAGCGCAUAAACGGCGGCUCUCGUUACUACCCACGGUGCUCAAAUCAGGUCUUGCCUCCCACCCGCUCUGUGAAACGAGGCGAUCUCGUUAGUGUCCAUUGUUAUCCAUGAAGCCCGCCCCGGAGGGAAGAAGGUCAGCCUCGGACUUGGAGACCGCGGGUUCAAAUCCCCCUCUGCCCUCGGGGUAAGGGGUCUCAGCUUUCUGAUGUGUAGCAGGGGAAGAUGCGCUCGGGAGCCCCGCCCCCCAACACUGUGAUUCUCCGGGCCUCGGCUUUCCCUCCCAAAUCCUUGCUUCAAAUGGCCCGGGUUCCCGGGGUACACCGGCAGUGCCUUCGGUAACGGGGGAGGGGCCGUGGGGCUCCCGCGCCCCCUGCUGGCCAACGGCCAGAACAGCACCGGCUGAAGGCGAAGGCGGGCACCGGCCAGAGCUGCUCGGACCUUCCCAGAGCCCUGCGGGCGCAGGUGGUGACAUCACCUCUUGUAACGGAGGUGAAGGCCGCGGCACACGUGACGGGCCUCCCUUGGAAGCGGCUGCUGAAACAGCUUCCUCCGGGGACCACCCCUUCCACCUCCCGCCUAAUCGGGGGAAUCCUUCCUGCCGCCAGAGCAACCGUGGCUCGGGCAGCUCCAGUCUGCAGGGCCGAAAUGCCUUGUUACCGACCCUUCUCGGUUAAAAAGUUAACGCCCAGGACUACAACAAAGGGAACCGAUCAUACGGAGACGCGGUCGUCAAAAUGCACCAAAAAUGAGUUUGCUGGCUUCCCCAGCUGAAGGAGCAAAGCCCAAAGGCCAGGGAAAGGUACCCAAGGAGGACGGCGAAGUUCCCCGAAUCUCCUCUUCUCCAGCUCGAGCAGCCCUAGUCCUUUAACCAGCCCCCAUCCGGGUCCUUGAGCAUCUCCCCCCCACGGACCCGCCCCCGUUCAGAACCGAACCCGAACACGUGACUUUGGAAGCCCUGACACGGAGGCCCAGCUCCUGGCAAACCCGGGCAAGUGGAAGCCUAAGCUGCAGCACAGGUUCUCAAUAAAACAGAAGCCAACAAUCCUGUACCGGGCGGCCCGAGCCAUUAGCCAAGGUCAGGAUCCUUGCUCCCCAUUCUCUUCCUUCUCCUUUCUCACACGUGUGAAACAACUUUGGGGUUCAGUAGAUAGACCAGCACAAGUCAGGAGGGCCCGAGUUCAAAUGUGGCUUCAGACAAGUCCCGGACCAGUUUCCCCAUCUAUAAAUUAAGAAUAAUAACGGCACCUACCUUGUAGGGCUGUUGGAUCAAAGGAGAUAAUAACUGUCAAGUGCAUAGCACAGUGCCUGGAAUAAAAAUGCUGCCUCCUAAUAAUUCUUGCCUGGCUCAGUUUCAGCUGCAAAAUGGGAGGUUGCCGAGAAUUAAAUGAGAUGAUUUGUCAAGUGCUUGCAGAGUUCCUGACACAUAUUAAGUAGGUACUUAAUAAUUGCUUCUUUUCUUCUUUCCUACGUACACAUGUAUGCUGCAUAGCGCAGCACAAACGCUCCAAGGUGGACUUCUAACGGCCCGAUGACUGCAGAUGUCUGAGACCCCGCAGGCCCAAAGGCGACCCCCAUCUCCCACAAAAUCUCGAGCUGCCAGGCUUAGUGGGGCUGUCCCAGGGCCACGAAGGCAGGCAGCUUCACUGAGCUUCCCUGCCACCCAACGCACCCUCCCUGAGCUAUCAGGGCUUUGGGCAGGAUGUUCUGGGAGGGCAGGCAGGGCCUCUCUCCUUGGACACUCCUAACCUCCUCCAGGGCCUCCUCUCACCAUCCUCCACCAGUGACACUAUGAAGGCCCAGGCCUCCUGCUGCUCCCUUGGUCAUUGACUUCCUCCUGUCUCUGGGAGAGUCCUCCAUAAUCUGGCUCCAACUGGUCUUUGCAUAUGGUUCCCCUUCCCAUAGAGUUUAACUAUCAUCUUAACAGGACUAUCCUUUCCUGAGAAAACAAGAAAUAACGAUGCUUAUCCAUGAAAAGUUUUCUAUAUCCUAUUCAAAUAGCUUUGUUUCUUAACUAGAAUUGUCUACAUUUAUAUCUCAAUGCCUCUGGGAUCAAAUAUAAAAAAAUUUUAAAAGCCCUUUAAAUCCACCCCCUUCUACUCUCCAGUCUUCUCACAUCUCCCUUCUCCGGCCAGUCCUCUUGAAUCUAGUGACAUCAGACUGUCCUAACUCUCAGCUCAGGCUAUUUUCUCCCUCUUCCUCCUCCAUCCAACUGCUGACCUCCCUGGUUUCCUUUAAAUCCCAGCUUACAUCCUGCCUUCUACAGGGAAGCACUCCCUGACACCUCUUCAUUCCAGUGCUUUCCCAGUCAUUCAUGUUCUACUCUUGCUUUGUGCAUAUUUGUUUUCAUGCUACCCAUUCAACCAUAAGCUCUAUGAAGGCAAAGGCUCUCUUGCCUCUUUUUAGUUUCCCCGCACUUAGCACAACUUAAAUUUGCCUGCUGAUCGACUAAAGCAUGUUUUAUUCCAAUGUAUUUGUCUUUUCCCUCUUCCAUGUUUUCCUCUUCUUGUUAGUAUGGCGAAGAACAGAAUAAGCAUUUUUGAUUGUUGCUUUUCUGCAUAAAAGAAGCAAUGUGGAAGCAAGUUAGGUUUGCAUGAAAAAUCUCUUUGUGCUUCUCCCUAACACAGCAAGUAGGAAAAAAAAUCCAUCGACUAGAGAUUGUCUUGUGAGGUUGGUCUAUCAGCUGGUUUCCUCUCUCUGGCUUCCAUGACUUUAUACGGUCCCUCCCCAUGCCUGGAACAUCUUGGUUCUGGCCUUUUAGAAUCCUCCUGAUGCUCUUCUGCCUGAAAGUACCAAACUCACUUAUUCACUGGGUCCUAGGAUCACAUGUAGGGCUGGAAGGGCCUGAGAAGUCAUCAAAGGCAAACCUCUCACUUCACAGAUGAGAGAACUGAGGCGUAAUGGGGAAAUAACACUAUAUAACCAGUGUCUCAGCAGAUUCGAACCCAGGAUCGACAACAGGCUUCCUCCAUCAGACCCCGAGCUCCUUGGAAAGGCUUGUUCCUGUUCUUCCAUCUCCCACUGCCCAGCAGACCCUUACC